RNAcentral lists this ribosomal RNA (585 nucleotides) under Alternaria sp. MUCL 42525. Its description in RNAcentral is "eukaryotic LSU rRNA". The stretch from base 209 to 362 matches the Rfam family "5.8S ribosomal RNA". The record is from RNAcentral. Lineage: Eukaryota; Fungi; Ascomycota; Dothideomycetes; Pleosporales; Pleosporaceae.
UCGUAANAAGNUCUCNGUAGGUGNACNUGCGGAGGGAUCAUUACACAAAUAUGAAGGCGGGCUGGAAUCUCUCGGGGUUACAGCCUUGCUGAAUUAUUCACCCUUGUCUUUUGCGUACUUCUUGUUUCCUUGGUGGGUUCGCCCACCACUAGGACAAACAUAAACCUUUUGUAAUUGCAAUCAGCGUCAGUAACAAAUUAAUAAUUACAACUUUCAACAACGGAUCUCUUGGUUCUGGCAUCGAUGAAGAACGCAGCGAAAUGCGAUAAGUAGUGUGAAUUGCAGAAUUCAGUGAAUCAUCGAAUCUUUGAACGCACAUUGCGCCCUUUGGUAUUCCAAAGGGCAUGCCUGUUCGAGCGUCAUUUGUACCCUCAAGCUUUGCUUGGUGUUGGGCGUCUUGUCUCUAGCUUUGCUGGAGACUCGCCUUAAAGUAAUUGGCAGCCGGCCUACUGGUUUCGGAGCGCAGCACAAGUCGCACUCUCUAUCAGCAAAGGUCUAGCAUCCAUUAAGCCUUUUUUCAACUUUUGACCUCGGAUCNGNUAGGGAUACCCGCUGAACUUAAGCAUAUCAAUAGCGAANGAAAAA